Molecule: ribosomal RNA, 431 nt
Filed under: uncultured bacterium
Lineage: Bacteria
Description: partial 16S ribosomal RNA
Rfam family: Bacterial small subunit ribosomal RNA
Source: RNAcentral
AACGAACGCUGGCGGCAGGCUUAACACAUGCAAGUCGUGCGCCCCGCAAGGGUUGCGGCACCUGGGUGAGUAACGCGUGGGAACGUACCUUUUGGUUCGGAACAACUACGGGAAACUGGAGCUAAUACCGGACAAGUCCUAACGGGGAAAGAUUUAGCGGCGCAAGAUCGGCCUGCGUCUGAUUAGCUAGUUGGUGAGGUAACGGCUCACCAUGGCGACGAUCAGUAGCUGGUCUGAGAGGAUGAUCAGCCACACUGGGACUGAGACACGGCCCAGACUCCAACGGGAGACAGCAGUGGAAAAUAUGAGACAAGGGGCGCAAGCCUGAUACAGCCAUGGCGCGUAAGAGAUGAAGGCCUUAGGGUUAUAAAGCUCUUUUGACCGAAAAGAUAAUGACUGUACCGGAAGAAGAAGCCACGGCUAACUUCGUG